RNAcentral lists this ribosomal RNA (492 nucleotides) under uncultured bacterium. RNAcentral describes it as "partial 16S ribosomal RNA". It matches the Rfam family "Bacterial small subunit ribosomal RNA", at positions 29 to 507 of the family's 1533-position model. The record is from RNAcentral.
AGUGAACGCUGGCGGUAGGCCUAACACAUGCAAGUCGAACGGCAGCACAGUAAGAGCUUGCUCUUACGGGUGGCGAGUGGCGGACGGGUGAGGAAUACAUCGGAAUCUACUUUUUCGUGGGGGAUAACGUAGGGAAACUUACGCUAAUACCGCAUACGACCUACGGGUGAAAGCAGGGGAUCUUCGGAACUUGCGCGAUUGAAUGAGCCGAUGUCGGAUUAGCUAGUUGGCGGGGUAAAGGCCCACCAAGGCGACGAUCCGUAGCUGGUCUGAGAGGAUGAUCAGCUACACUGGAACUGAGACACGGUCCAGACUCCUACGGGAGGCAGCAGUGGGGAAUAUUGGACAAUGGGCGCAAGCCUGAUCCAGCCAUACCGCGUGGGUGAAGAAGGCCUUCGGGUUGUAAAGCCCUUUUGUUGGGAAAGAAAAGCAGCAGGUUAAUACCCCGCUGUUCUGACGGUACCCAAAGAAUAAGCACCGGCUAACUUCGUG